RNAcentral lists this ribosomal RNA (290 nucleotides) under uncultured bacterium. RNAcentral describes it as "partial 16S ribosomal RNA". It matches the Rfam family "Archaeal small subunit ribosomal RNA", at positions 455 to 744 of the family's 1478-position model. The record is from RNAcentral.
GUGCCAGCCGCCGCGGUAAUACCGGCAGCCCGAGUGAUGGCCGAUCUUAUUGGGCCUAAAGCGUCCGUAGCUGGCUGCGCAAGUCCGUCGGGAAAUCCACCUGCCCAACAGGUGGGCGUCCGGCGGAAACUGUCCGGCUUGGGGCCGGAGGACCCGAGGGGUACGUCCGGGGUAGGAGUGAAAUCCCGUAAUCCUGGACGGACCGCCGGUGGCGAAAGCGCCUCGGGAAGACGGACCCGACAGUGAGGGACGAAAGCUGGGAUCUCGAACCGGAUUAGAUACCCGAGUAU